CCGGCGUCUCGUCGGGGGUUUCGCCCGGGCUUCCGUCCGGGGUUUCGUCCGACGUUCUGGUCGUCGACAUCGACC
This 75-nucleotide transfer RNA is filed under the name Streptomyces badius. RNAcentral's name for it is "tRNA-Gly". The record is from RNAcentral. Lineage: Bacteria; Bacillati; Actinomycetota; Actinomycetes; Kitasatosporales; Streptomycetaceae.